AGCGGAGGAAAAGAAACCAACAGGGAUUGCCUCAGUAACGGCGAGUGAAGCGGCAACAGCUCAAAUUUUAAAGCUGGCGUCUUCGGCGUCCGCAUUGUAAUUUGGAGAGGCAUCUUCGGUUUGGGCGCCAGCCUAUGUUCCUUGGAACAGGACGUCACAGAGGGUGAGAAUCCCGUGCUUGGCCGGCUGUCCCAUUCCAUGUGAAGUGUCUUCGACGAGUCGAGUUGUUUGGGAAUGCAGCUCAAAAUGGGUGGUAAAUUUCAUCUAAAGCUAAAUAUUGGUGGGAGACCGAUAGCGCACAAGUAGAGUGAUCGAAAGAUGAAAAGCACUUUGAAAAUAGAGUUAAAAAGUACGUGAAAUUGUUGAAAGGGAAGCGCUUGAGACCAGACUCGACCGGGGAUGAUCAGCUGUCCUUCUGGGCAGUGCACUUGUCUCUGGUCGGGCCAGCAUCGGUUGAGACGGCGGGACAAAGGCUUCGGGAACGUGGCUCCUCUCGGGGAGUGUUAUAGCCCGUUGCGUAAUGCCGCCAGCCUCGACCGAGGACCGCGCUUCGGCUAGGAUGCUUGGCGUAAUGGUCUUCAGCGACCCGUCU
RNAcentral lists this ribosomal RNA (592 nucleotides) under Disciotis venosa. RNAcentral describes it as "eukaryotic LSU rRNA". It matches the Rfam family "Eukaryotic large subunit ribosomal RNA", at positions 49 to 654 of the family's 3401-position model. Lineage: Eukaryota; Fungi; Ascomycota; Pezizomycetes; Pezizales; Morchellaceae. The record is from RNAcentral.